UACGGAGGAUGCAAGCGUUAUCCGGAAUGAUUGGGCGUAAAGCGUCCGCAGGUGGCUGUGUAAGUCUGCUGUCAAAGAGCGAAGCUCAACUUCGUAAAGGCAGUGGAAACUACACGGCUAGAGUGCGUUCGGGGCAGAGGGAAUUCCUGGUGUAGCGGUGAAAUGCGUAGAGAUCAGGAAGAACACCGGUGGCGAAGGCGCUCUGCUAGGCCGCAACUGACACUGAGGGACGAAAGCUAGGGGAGCGAAAUGGG
This 254-nucleotide ribosomal RNA is filed under the name uncultured bacterium. RNAcentral describes it as "partial 16S ribosomal RNA". It matches the Rfam family "Bacterial small subunit ribosomal RNA", at positions 524 to 777 of the family's 1533-position model. The record is from RNAcentral.